AUGAGGAGUGGGUUGGGAGAAAACCAUCACUUUCUUAUUUGCGCACUUGGGGAUGUUUGGCAAAGGUCAAUAUUCAAUAUUCCUAUUCCUAAGAAACGCAAACUUGGACCAAAGAAAGUGGAUUGUGUCUUUCUAGGGUAUGCUCAACGGAGCAUUGCUUAUAGGUUUUUAGUGGUAAAAUCUGAAGUACCUGAUAUGCAUGUUGAUACUAUAAUGGAAUCUCGUGAUGCAACAUUUUUUGAGAACAUAUUUCCUAUGAAAGAUAUGCAUAGCAUUGCUAGAUUUUCUUCUGAGAUAAUUCCUGAAUCUAGUACAACUGAUGAAUAUUUCGAACAAUCACAUGAGGAAGUCCUUGAGAAGGAUAACAAUGAAGUUCCUAGAAGGAACAAGAGACAAAGGAUUGCAAAAUCCUUUGGUGAUGAUUUCAUUGUAUACCUUGUGGACGACACACCCAAGACGAUUGCAGAAGCAUAUGCAUCUCCGGAUGUAGAUGAUUGGAAAGAAGCUGUUCAUAAUGAGAUGGACUCAAUUCUUUCUAAUGGAACUUGGGAACUAACUGAUAGACCAUAUGGUUGUAAACCUGUGGGCUGUAAGUGGGUGUUCAAAAAGAAGCUAAAGCCUGAUGGUACUAUUGAUAAGUACAAGGCGCGGCUAGUGGCCAAGGGCUACACUCAGAAAGAAGGCGAAGAUUACUUUGACACCUAUUCACCCGUUGCUAGAAUGACCACCAUUCGAGUGUUACUUUCCUUGGCUGCCUCUUAUGGUCUUAUCAUUCAUCAAAUGGAUGUAAAGACAGCUUUUCUCAAUGGAGAGUUGGAAGAGGAGAUCUAUAUGGAUCAGCCUGACGGGUUUGUGGUAAAGGGUGAAGAGAGAAAGGUGUGCAAGUUGUUAAAAUCUUUGUGUGGUCUGAAACAGGCACCUAAGCAAUGGCAUGAGAAGUUUGAAAGAACUCUGACUUCUGCAGGAUUUGUCAUUAACGAGGCUCAUAGGUGUGUUUACUAUCGCCAUGGUGGGGGCAAUAGUGUCAUAUUAUGUUUGUAUGUGGACGACAUACUGAUCUUUGGUACAAACAUUAAUGCAAUUAAUGAGGUCAAGUCUUUUCUAUCAAAAAGUUUUGACAUGAAAGAUCUGGGAGAAGCCGAUGUAAUUCUAAACAUCAAACUUAUUAAGGAUGAGAGUGGGAUUACAUUAACGCAAUCUCACUAUGUUGAGAAGGUCUUGAACCGAUUCGGUUUUAUGGAUAGCAAGCCUUCUCCAACACCUUAUGAUCCCAGCGUGACACUCAGAAAGAACAAGAAAGAAACGAGAGAUCAAUUAAGAUACUCUCAAAUUGUCGGUUCACUCAUGUACUUAGCUAGCGCUACAAGACCAGAUAUCUCUUUUGCUGUGAGCAAACUGAGUAGGUUCAUGUCCAACCCGGGUGAUGAUCAUUGGCAUGCACUAGAAAGGGUCUUGCGCUAUCUGCGAGGUACUAUGAGUUACGGAAUUACUUAUUCAGGGCAUCCUGCUGUGCUAGAAGGAUAUAGUGAUUCAAAUUGGAUCUCCGAUGUUGAUGUACUUUACGCAACAAGUGGGUAUGUAUUUACUCAUGGUGGUGGCGCAGUGUCAUGGAGGUCUUGCAAGCAAACCAUAUUGACGAGGUCAACUAUGGAAGCAGAAUUAACUGCUUUGGACACAGCUACUGUUGAGGCAGAAUGGCUGCGUGAGCUCUUGAUGGACUUGCCGGUUGUUGAAAAACCUGUACCGGCUAUUCUUAUGAAUUGUCAUAACCAAACGGUUAUCGCUAAAGUGAACAAUUCUAAAGAUAAUGCAAAGUCAUCAAGACACGUGAAAAGACGUUUGAAGUCUGUCAGGAAGUUGAGAAACUCCGGAGUAAUAACUGUUACGUAUAUACAAACAGACAAAAACCUGGCAGAUCCCUUUACAAAGGGACUAUCACGAAAUGUGAUAGAUAUUGCAUCGAGGGAGAUGGGUAUGAGACCCAUA
Molecule: ribosomal RNA, 1986 nt
Filed under: Triticum aestivum (bread wheat)
Lineage: Eukaryota; Viridiplantae; Streptophyta; Magnoliopsida; Poales; Poaceae
Description: partial small subunit ribosomal RNA
Source: RNAcentral